UUUUCCCACUGUACAGCAAGGGGGUCAGGUCAUCCUUAGAUGUAUACAUUGCAGUUACAGUUUUUUCCCCCACCCUUUCUUCUGUUGCGACAUGAGUAUCUAGACAUAGUUCAUAAAAGGCAUUUCUAUCUUUAAAAAUCUUUAGCUAACAUUAUACUUAAUGAUGAAAAACUGAAAGCUUUCUCUUAAGAUCAGUAAAUGGCAAGAAUGUCUACUGUCAUCACCCUUAUUAUAACAGCCUUCUGGAAACGAAAAAGAAACAAAAGGUGUAGACUGGACAGAAAAAAUAAAUUGUCCGUAUUCACAGACUGCAUGAUUACCCACUUAAAAAAAUCCCCAAGAAUCUACAAAAAUACAUAUAAAACCAACAAGUGAAUUUAGCAAGGUUAGGGACACAAAGUCAACACACAGAAAUCAAUCCUAUUUCUUUUUAUUUAUUUUUUAUUUAUUUAUUUUUUCGUCUUUUUGCUAUUUCUUUGGGCCGCUCCCGCGGCACAUGGAAGUUCCCAGGCUAGGGUCGAAUCUGAGCUGCAGCUGCCAGCCACAGUAAUGCCAAAUUUGAGCCACAGCUCAGGUCAACAGCAACACCAGAUCCUUAAUCCAGGGAGCAAGGCCAGGGAUCAAACCUACGUCCUCAUGGAUAGUCAGAUUCACUUCCACUGUACCACAACAGGAACUUCUUCUAAGUGAUUUUUAAAAAAAAGAAAAAAAAAUUCCAGGCUGAAUUUUUCAGAGAUAUAAAUAAAAUGAUUCUAAAAUUUAGAAGGAACUAGAACAGCUAAAAAAAUUUUUUUUGAAAAAAAAAAAAAAAGAAACUGGAAGAACUACAACUACUCAAUUACAACACAUUAACUAUAAAGCUACAGUAUCAAGACUGUGCAGUAUUGGCAAAGGGAUUUAGGUCGGUGGAAAUCAUCCAGACAAAAAAAUUCAAUGAGGAGCUCCUGCUGUGGCACAAUGGCAUUGGUGGUGUCUUGGGAGCCAAUGAGAUGCAGGUUCAAUCCCCAGCUCAGUGGUUUAGGGAUCUAGCAUUGCCCCAGCUGAGGGUCAGGUUGAGACUGUGGCUCUGACCCUGGCCAGGGAACUCUAUACGCCACAGGGCGGCUAAAAAUGACCAAAUUUAAAACAAAAAACAAUUCAACAGUACAAAGAGAGUCUUUAUAAUAAAUUAUGUUGGAACAAAUGUACAUUCAAAUGCAAAAAAAAUUAACCUCAACUUAAAUCUCAUAUUUUAUAUAAAAAUUCACUCCAAAUGAAUCAGAGAUAUGAAUAAAAAAUAUUUGAAAACUUCAAGAAAAAAAUACCAAAAAAAAACUUCAUUCCUUGGGGUUAGGUAUGGGAUUCUUAAAUAUGACAACAGAAAGUACAAUCCAUAAGAGAAAAAAGCUAGCAAACUUUAUCAACAUUAAGAACUCUUGAUCUUUAGAAAGAAAAAAAAAAGGAAAAUAAAAUAUGAAUAGAAACCUUAAAAAAAAAACCUUAAAACCUUAAAAAAAAAAACUCACUGAAAGAUACUGUUGAAAGAAUAAAAAGAAAAGCUAUGGAUGGGGAGAAAAUACAUUUGCAAAUUACAUUUCUAGCAAUAGGACUUCAAUUAACAAUAUAUUAUGAACUCUCAAAGCUCAACAAUAAGAAAAUAAAGGACCCAGAGCUCCCUUCAUGGCUCAGCAGUGAACACACCCGACUAGAAUCCAUGAGGAUGAAGGUUUGAUCCCUGGCGUCGUUCAGUGGGUUAAGGAUCCAAAGCUGUCCUGAGCGUCAGUGUGGGUCACAGACAUGGAUUGGAGGCUUGGAUGGCCCACUGCCGUGGCUGUAGCUCUGAUGAGAGCCCCUAGCCUAGGAACUUUCAUAUGCCAUCAAUGCGGGCCUAAAAAAAAAAGAACCCAAUUAAAAAUAGGCAAAAGACAUAACAGACAUUGCACCUCAAUAUCAUUAGCUAUUAGGGAAAUACAUAUUAAAACUACAAUGAGUUACCCAUGAUGGAAAUGCAAAUCAAAACCAUCAUAAACCACUUCACACUCACUAGGAUGGUUGUAAUAAAGAUGGCAAUAAAAAGUGUUAGCAAGAUUUGCAAAGACACUAGAAACCUCAUUCACUGCUGGUGGAAAUGCAAAAUUGUGCAGCCACUUGGAAAAAGUCAGGGAGUUAUUCAGACAGCUAAACAUAGAGUUAUCAUAUUAUCCCACAAUUCAACUCCUCUGUAUAUACCUAAAAGAAUGAAAACCAGUGUCACACAAAAACUUGUACACAAAUGUUUAUAGAACACUAUUCAUAAUAGCUAAAAGGUGGAAAUAGCACCAAUGUCUAUCACCUUAUGGAUAAAGAGAUAUGUCCAUUCAACAGAACAUUAUUCAUCAAUAAAAAAGAAUAAAGUACUGAUACAUGCUACAACUUGGAUAAACUUGAAAACACUAAAAGAAGCCAGUCACAAAAGAUCACAUAUGAUUCCCUUCGUAUGAAAUAUCCAGAGUAAGCUAAUCUGAAAGACAAAAAGUACAUUAACGGUUGCCUAGGGCUGGGGAAAGGGAGAAACAGGAAGUGAUGGCUAACAGGCACAGAAUUUCUUUUUGGAGUGAUGAAUAUGUUCCAAAAUCCACUGUGAAUGGUUGCACAACUCUGAAUAUACUAAAAACCAUCAGCUCUUAAAUUUUACGUGAGUGAAUUAUAUUGCAAUUAUAUCUCAAUAAAGUCAUCAAAAACACAGUGAAUUAUUAUAUAUACAUCAAUUAAUAUGGCUAAAUUUAAAAAUAUUGAUAAUACCAACGUUAAUAAGGAUACAGAGCAACUAAAAUUUCUGUAUCUUGCUGGUAGAAAAGCAAAAUGGUACAACUACUCUGGAAUAUCUUAUAAACAUACAUUACCUAUGGCCUAAGAAUCUCCCUCCUAGGUAUCUACUCUAGAGAAAUGAAAACAUGUUCACAUAAAAUCUCAUACCUAACUGUUUAUAGUGGCUCUAUUUACAAAUGUCAAAAACUGGAAAUAAUUCAAAAGGCCUUCAAGGCAUAAACGGAUAAAUAAACUAUGGGAUAUUCAAAUAAUGGAAUACUAGUUAGCAAUAAAAGGAAUAAAUUAUUGAUUCACAUACUUGGAAGAAUCUCAAAGGUAUUAUGCUGAGUGAAAGAAACCAAUCUCCACAAGGUUGUAUAUCAUGUGGUUCCACUUACACAUUAAGUCUCAAAACUACAAAACUAUUGAGAUGAAGAAAAAAAAAAAAACUGUUGCCAGAGAGGUAGAGACUGAGUCUUUUGGGGUGAUAAAGACUUUUUGGGAGUUCCCAUCGUGGCUCAGCAGUUUAAUGAACCCGACCAGUAUCCAUGAGGUCAAGGGUUCUAUCCCUGGCCUUGCUCAGUGGGUUAAGGACCCAGCACUGCCAUGAGCUGUGGUGUAGGUCGAAGACGUGGCUAGGAUCUGGUGUUGCUGUGGCUGUGGUGUAGGUCGGCAGCUACAGCUCCAAUUCAGCCCCUAGCCUGGGAACAUCCAUAUGCUGUGGGUGUAGCCCUAAAAAGACAAAAGACAAAAAUAAAAGACUUUUGGUAUUUUGUACCCUGAUUUAUUGUGGUGGUUACACAAAUUUAUACAUGUAUUAAAAUUCUAAAAAAUGUGCACCAAAAGGAAAAUGGUGGAUUUUUCUUUAUAAUUUAAAAAAUUUUUAAAUGUUAAGUCCAGUCUAGAGUCAACUCUUCUUUAAUUCAAUUUCAAUUCACUAAAUUAUCGCUUUUAAUAAUCUCACUUAGUUAAAAAUACAGUAUAGGAGUUCCUGUUGUGGCACAACAGGAACAGCAACAUCUCUGCAGUGCCAGAACACAAGUUCAAUCCCCAUGCUGGCAAAGCAAGUUAAAGGAUCCAGAGUAAGUCCAACCUGUAGCUAAGGGUGCAACUGCAGCUUGGAUCUGAUCUCUGACCCAGGAACUCCAUAUGCCAUGGGGUAACCAAAAGAGAAAAAAUUUUUUUAAUUUUUUAAAUAAAAUAAAAGUACAGUAUAUAGUUCAAGAAAGAUACUAGCAACAUGAAAUACAUCCUAAGGAGUACCUAGAGGUAGUAAAGCAUUAGGAAAUCGGACCCAUUAAUUAAGACUACACAAACUAGGCAUACUAAGCCUAAAGCAGAGACUCUGAGGGAGAAUGACUGAUGAAAAACACCUUCAAUUACCUGAAGGGGUGACAUGUAUAUGGGGGUUAGAAUUUUUCCAUAUAGUAUUAAAGGGAAACUUCAUUUACCAGUGAGUCUAAAAGCAUAAAGCAUUUUCUAGGGUUACCAGAAAUUCAACAUAUAUUCCCCAAAUGCUAGAUAAUCAAAAGUAGGAAGUUCUGGAGACUCUUGCAUUAAACAAAGAGUCAUACAGGAUGAUCUAAGAGUUUUCUUUCACCUCAAACAUUAUAUGAAUCUAUGAAGUAUAACUUAUACAGUUAACCUACCAAAGUAGAAGAUACUGACAAUCUAAAAAGGUGUCCCUUCUUACCAAAUAGCAUUUUAUUGAACAAAAGCAAAUAUUAGAAGCACUCUAGGUUCCAAAUUUUUAAAAAAGACUAAUAAACACCUCAACAAAAGCUGUAUUAAGACCUAUUUUACAGCUCUUUUAUUUCUCCAAAUCUCUCUGGACUAAGGCUAUUAAAAUUAAAUUCAAAUUACUAAUGCCUAAUUAAAUCUAAUUUCAUUAAACUUAAAAGUUAUAAAAAUAAAUUUCAUGCAAACUUCUGUAAGUACAUUGAAGAAAUUUCUUGAAAAUGAAGUUACUCUUUCCACACAAAGGAUGGUAGUCCUCAAAAGAGCCAAAACAUCUGUAUUCACUUUAAAGCUCAUCAAGACAGACUGACAUUUUUAGGAGAAGCAUAUGGCUUGCUCAACAGUCAUCUAGAACAGGAUCUUUUGUCUAGUAACCCCUAUUCAAGGACCAUUUACUUAUGUAUGGAGUGGCUGAAUAAAGAAAAGAACAUAUUUUUGAGUCCUAGAAAACACAAAGAAAUAAGCUCUUCAUCUAGCUUUGUCAAGGAUACAGCAAAACAUGUUACAAAAGCAACCAGAUCUUUACUCUCAGAGACAGUGCUCUUAACAUCUGAAACAAUCCUAAGAAAUCACUGAAACAAAUGAACUCUAGAAAAGCUUUCUUAGAGAACUAAAUCCCGCCAAAGACCACCUCCCUAAAAAAAGGCAUUUCCAUUUUAAAGGAUAAAACACUUUCUUCUUAAAACUUUGAAGGGCAGAGUUCAACAGCUGCGCUAUAUUAAACCUGAGCCCUUCCAAAAGGAAGAACAAGAGUCUCUGGAGAGUGAGUAACACGGCCUGCUUUCUCCAACAUUAUCAAAAUGCCUGCUUUGCCUCAAAGGAACGUUUCUCCAGGAAAAAAAAAAAAAAAAAAAAAAAAGCCUCUACAUAGUAGAUGGGUGAAAAACAUAAAACUUAGACUAGGAAAAUAUACAAAAUAGAAGCAUUUUUGCUUGUUUCUGGAAAUCUCUUCCACCCAAGGAAAAAUGCAUUUUGAAGUCCUUCAAGAUACAGCAUGGAAACUAUUAAACAAAAACAGAAAUAGUAGUUUCCAGCCCUAGCUUCCCUUCAGAAUCACCACUGCGCUUGGUUGCAACCUAAACUUACUGAACCAGUAUAUACUAGGACCAAGGCAUCUGAAUUAUUUAUGCACACAACAGGUAAUUUUGAUGCACAGCAAGGGUUUAAAAACCACUGAACUGGAGCAUAAUCCCAUAAAGGAAAAAUUAAACCUAGCGAGUAAAGGUAAGUAAGGAAAGGCCACAUUUGAGCAACUAACUAGUUCUAAAGAAUCUAAGGUUGUAUUCACCUAUUAAAAUAUUCAGUAUCAGGAGUUCCCAUCAUGGCUCAGUGAAAACGAAUCUGACUAGCAUCCAUGAGGACGCAGAUUCGAUCCCUGGCCUUGCUCAGUGGAGUAAGGAUCUGGCAUUGCCGUGAGCUGUGUUGUAGGUCACAUAGGUCAGCAGCUAUAGCUCUGAUUCAGCCCCUAGCCUGGGAACCUCCAUAUGCCACAAGUGUGGCCCUAAAAAAACAAACUCGUAACAAACAGAAAAAGAAUUUGAAGCAAAAAUUCUGACUUGUUCUCAAGCCAUUACUUAAAGGACAAAAGACUCAGAACAAUUUGCCAAAAUAUCCAAAUAUUUAGAUGAAAGUAGUUAUGAAGGAGUUCCCUUCAUGGCUCAGUGGUUAACAAAACCAACUAGGAUCCACAAGGAUUUGGGUUCAAUCCCUGGCCUCAUUAAAUGCGUUAAAAAUCUGGUGUUGUCAUGAGAUGUGGAGUAGGUUGCAGACGUGGCUCGGACCCCGCUUUGCUAUAAGCUGUGGUGUAGGCUAGCAGUUGCAGCUCUGAUCCAACCCCUAGCCUGGGAACCACCAUAUAACUGGGGUUCAGCCUAAAAAGCAAAAAAAAAAGAUGGUAAGAAAGUCACCAAUAGAAAGUCUCUCAUUGAAAAUAAUUACAAAAUU
This 6447-nucleotide long non-coding RNA is filed under the name Sus scrofa (pig). RNAcentral's name for it is "lncRNA (ENSSSCG00050032655.1)". Lineage: Eukaryota; Metazoa; Chordata; Mammalia; Artiodactyla; Suidae. The record is from RNAcentral.